Molecule: transfer RNA, 85 nt
Organism: Scytonema hofmannii PCC 7110
Lineage: Bacteria; Bacillati; Cyanobacteriota; Cyanophyceae; Nostocales; Scytonemataceae
Rfam family: tRNA
About the family: Transfer RNA (tRNA) molecules are approximately 80 nucleotides in length. Their secondary structure includes four short double-helical elements and three loops (D, anti-codon, and T loops). Further hydrogen bonds mediate the characteristic L-shaped molecular structure. tRNAs have two regions of fundamental functional importance: the anti-codon, which is responsible for specific mRNA codon recognition, and the 3' end, to which the tRNAs corresponding amino acid is attached (by aminoacyl-tRNA synthetases). tRNAs cope with the degeneracy of the genetic code in two manners: having more than one tRNA (with a specific anti-codon) for a particular amino acid; and 'wobble' base-pairing, i.e. permitting non-standard base-pairing at the 3rd anti-codon position.
Source: Rfam
GGAGAGGUGGCAGAGUGGUCGAUUGCGUCCGACUUGAAAUCGGAUGAUGCGAAAGCAUCCGGGAGUUCGAAUCUCCCCCUCUCCG